Molecule: ribosomal RNA, 2904 nt
Filed under: Enterobacter cloacae
Lineage: Bacteria; Pseudomonadati; Pseudomonadota; Gammaproteobacteria; Enterobacterales; Enterobacteriaceae
Also listed under: 1 other name
Description: bacterial LSU rRNA
Rfam family: Bacterial large subunit ribosomal RNA
Source: RNAcentral
UUAAGCGACUAAGCGUACACGGUGGAUGCCCUGGCAGUCAGAGGCGAUGAAGGACGUGCUAAUCUGCGAAAAGCGCCGGCGAGGUGAUAUGAACCCUUGACCCGGCGAUGUCCGAAUGGGGAAACCCAGUGCAAUCCGUUGCACUAUCGUUAACUGAAUACAUAGGUUAACGAGGCGAACCGGGGGAACUGAAACAUCUAAGUACCCCGAGGAAAAGAAAUCAACCGAGAUUCCCCCAGUAGCGGCGAGCGAACGGGGAGCAGCCCGGAGUCUGAAUCAGCUUGUGUGUUAGUGGAACGGUCUGGAAAGUCCGACGGUACAGGGUGAUAGUCCCGUACACGAAAGCACACUUGCUGUGAACUCGAAGAGUAGGGCGGGACACGUGGUAUCCUGUCUGAAUAUGGGGGGACCAUCCUCCAAGGCUAAAUACUCCUGACUGACCGAUAGUGAACCAGUACCGUGAGGGAAAGGCGAAAAGAACCCCGGCGAGGGGAGUGAAAAAGAACCUGAAACCGUGUACGUACAAGCAGUGGGAGCCUCUUUUAUGGGGUGACUGCGUACCUUUUGUAUAAUGGGUCAGCGACUUAUAUUCUGUAGCAAGGUUAACCGUAUAGGGGAGCCGAAGGGAAACCGAGUCUUAACUGGGCGUUAAGUUGCAGGGUAUAGACCCGAAACCCGGUGAUCUAGCCAUGGGCAGGUUGAAGGUUGGGUAACACUAACUGGAGGACCGAACCGACUAAUGUUGAAAAAUUAGCGGAUGACCUGUGGCUGGGGGUGAAAGGCCAAUCAAACCGGGAGAUAGCUGGUUCUCCCCGAAAGCUAUUUAGGUAGCGCCUCGUGAACUCAUCUUCGGGGGUAGAGCACUGUUUCGGCUAGGGGGCCAUCCCGGCUUACCAACCCGAUGCAAACUACGAAUACCGAAGAAUGUUAUCACGGGAGACACACGGCGGGUGCUAACGUCCGUCGUGAAGAGGGAAACAACCCAGACCGCCAGCUAAGGUCCCAAAGUCAUGGUUAAGUGGGAAACGAUGUGGGAAGGCACAGACAGCCAGGAUGUUGGCUUAGAAGCAGCCAUCAUUUAAAGAAAGCGUAAUAGCUCACUGGUCGAGUCGGCCUGCGCGGAAGAUGUAACGGGGCUAAACCAUGCACCGAAGCUGCGGCAGCGACACUAUGUGUUGUUGGGUAGGGGAGCGUUCUGUAAGCCGUUGAAGGUGUGCUGUGAGGCAUGCUGGAGGUAUCAGAAGUGCGAAUGCUGACAUAAGUAACGAUAAAGCGGGUGAAAAGCCCGCUCGCCGGAAGACCAAGGGUUCCUGUCCAACGUUAAUCGGGGCAGGGUGAGUCGACCCCUAAGGCGAGGCCGAAAGGCGUAGUCGAUGGGAAACAGGUUAAUAUUCCUGUACUUGGUGUUACUGCGAAGGGGGGACGGAGAAGGCUAUGUCAGCCGGGCGACGGUUGUCCCGGUUUAAGCAUGUAGGCGGAGGUUCCAGGUAAAUCCGGUACCUUGUUAACGCUGAGGUGUGAUGACGAGGCACUACGGUGCUGAAGUGAUAAAUGCCCUGCUUCCAGGAAAAGCCUCUAAGCAUCAGGUAACACGAAAUCGUACCCCAAACCGACACAGGUGGUCAGGUAGAGAAUACCAAGGCGCUUGAGAGAACUCGGGUGAAGGAACUAGGCAAAAUGGUGCCGUAACUUCGGGAGAAGGCACGCUGAUGUGUAGGUGAAGCCCCUGCGGGCGGAGCUGAAAUCAGUCGAAGAUACCAGCUGGCUGCAACUGUUUAUUAAAAACACAGCACUGUGCAAACACGAAAGUGGACGUAUACGGUGUGACGCCUGCCCGGUGCCGGAAGGUUAAUUGAUGGGGUUAGCUGUAAGGCGAAGCUCUUGAUCGAAGCCCCGGUAAACGGCGGCCGUAACUAUAACGGUCCUAAGGUAGCGAAAUUCCUUGUCGGGUAAGUUCCGACCUGCACGAAUGGCGUAAUGAUGGCCAGGCUGUCUCCACCCGAGACUCAGUGAAAUUGAACUCGCUGUGAAGAUGCAGUGUACCCGCGGCAAGACGGAAAGACCCCGUGAACCUUUACUAUAGCUUGACACUGAACACUGGUCCUUGAUGUGUAGGAUAGGUGGGAGGCUUUGAAGCGUGGACGCCAGUCUGCGUGGAGCCAACCUUGAAAUACCACCCUUUAAUGGCUGGUGUUCUAACGUAGACCCGUAAUCCGGGUUGCGGACAGUGUCUGGUGGGUAGUUUGACUGGGGCGGUCUCCUCCCAAAGAGUAACGGAGGAGCACGAAGGUUGGCUAAUCCUGGUCGGACAUCAGGAGGUUAGUGCAAUGGCAUAAGCCAGCUUGACUGCGAGCGUGACGGCGCGAGCAGGUGCGAAAGCAGGUCAUAGUGAUCCGGUGGUUCUGAAUGGAAGGGCCAUCGCUCAACGGAUAAAAGGUACUCCGGGGAUAACAGGCUGAUACCGCCCAAGAGUUCAUAUCGACGGCGGUGUUUGGCACCUCGAUGUCGGCUCAUCACAUCCUGGGGCUGAAGUAGGUCCCAAGGGUAUGGCUGUUCGCCAUUUAAAGUGGUACGCGAGCUGGGUUUAGAACGUCGUGAGACAGUUCGGUCCCUAUCUGCCGUGGGCGCUGGAGAAUUGAGGGGGGCUGCUCCUAGUACGAGAGGACCGGAGUGGACGCAUCACUGGUGUUCGGGUUGUCAUGCCAAUGGCACUGCCCGGUAGCUAAAUGCGGAAGAGAUAAGUGCUGAAAGCAUCUAAGCACGAAACUUGCCCCGAGAUGAGUUCUCCCUGAGACCUUGAGUCUCCUGAAGGAACGUUAAAGACUAUGACGUUGAUAGGUCGGGUGUGUAAGCGCAGCGAUGCGUUGAGCUAACCGAUACUAAUGAACCGUGAGGCUUAACCUU